Molecule: ribosomal RNA, 1343 nt
Filed under: uncultured bacterium
Lineage: Bacteria
Description: 16S ribosomal RNA
Rfam family: Bacterial small subunit ribosomal RNA
Source: RNAcentral
GACGAACGCUGGCGGCGUGCUUAACACAUGCAAGUCGAACGGAAAGGCCCUGCUUUUGUGGGGUGCUCGAGUGGCGAACGGGUGAGUAACACGUGAGUAACCUGCCCUUGACUUUGGGAUAACUUCAGGAAACUGGGGCUAAUACCGGAUAGGAGCUCCUGCUGCAUGGUGGGGGUUGGAAAGUUUCGGCGGUUGGGGAUGGACUCGCGGCUUAUCAGCUUGUUGGUGGGGUAGUGGCUUACCAAGGCUUUGACGGGUAGCCGGCCUGAGAGGGUGACCGGCCACAUUGGGACUGAGAUACGGCCCAGACUCCUACGGGAGGCAGCAGUGGGGAAUAUUGCACAAUGGGCGGAAGCCUGAUGCAGCAACGCCGCGUGCGGGAUGACGGCCUUCGGGUUGUAAACCGCUUUCGCCUGUGACGAAGCGUGAGUGACGGUAAUGGGUAAAGAAGCACCGGCUAACUACGUGCCGGCAGCCGCGGUGAUACGUAGGGUGCGAGCGCUGUCCGGAUUUAUUGGGCGUAAAGGGCUCGUAGGUGGUUGAUCGCGUCGGAAGUGUAAUCUUGGGGCUUAACCCUGAGCGUGCUUUCGAUACGGGUUGACUUGAGGAAGGUAGGGGAGAAUGGAAUUCCUGGUGGAGCGGUGGAAUGCGCAGAUAUCAGGAGGAACACCAGUGGCGAAGGCGGUUCUCUGGGCCUUUCCUGACGCUGAGGAGCGAAAGCGUGGGGAGCGAACAGGCUUAGAUACCCUGGUAGUCCACGCUGUAAACGGUGGGUACUAGGUGUGGGGUCCAUUCCACGGGUUCCGUGCCGUAGCUAACGCUUUAAGUACCCCGCCUGGGGAGUACGGCCGCAAGGCUAAAACUCAAAGGAAUUGACGGGGCCCCGCACAAGCGGCGGAGCAUGCGGAUUAAUUCGAUGCAACGCGUAGAACCUUACCUGGGUUUGACAUGGAUCGGGAGUGCUCAGAGAUGGGUGUGCCUCUUUUGGGGUCGGUUCACAGGUGGUGCAUGGCUGUCGUCAGCUCGUGUCGUGAGAUGUUGGGUUAAGUCCCGCAACGAGCGCAACCCUUGUUCACUGUUGCCAGCACGUUAUGGUGGGGACUCAGUGGAGACCGCCGGGGUCAACUCGGAGGAAGGUGGGGAUGACGUCAAGUCAUCAUGCCCCUUAUGUCCAGGGCUUCACGCAUGCUACAAUGGCUGGUACAGAGAGUGGCGAGCCUGUGAGGGUGAGCGAAUCUCGGAAAGCCGGUCUCAGUUCGGAUUGGGGUCUGCAACUCGACCUCAUGAAGUCGGAGUCGCUAGUAAUCGCAGAUCAGCAACGCUGCGGUGAAUACGUUCCCGGG